Non-coding RNA from Paramuricea clavata, 592 nucleotides. The record is from the annotation of a GenBank genome assembly. Lineage: Eukaryota; Metazoa; Cnidaria; Anthozoa; Malacalcyonacea; Plexauridae.
GCUAAAGCUGGUUUGCACAAUGGGCGUGUGAUUCUCUAGUCUUCAUGGUAGCGGGUCCAACUAUCUUGACCGGGCUGUCGCACGCCUAUUCACAAGUGCUAUCUCACUACUGUUUGACGCGGGAACUUUUGUCUGCUAUGUUUCCAACCUGGACUGAUACGUUCCUCUUUAUUCAACCUGGUGGACGAAGGUUCCCCUCAGUUCACCAUAUUGACGCCCAACUUAGUGUGGACACCCGAUCGACAUAGGUCGAUGUGUCAUGUACGACAGGAGUACCGAAAUAGUACCGAUCUCAAGUCAUUCGACACUACCUGCUCGAUAGUAGCUCGGUUAAAGGUGAAUCGUUUCCGAACACUUUUCAAAGAUUUAGCGUUAAAAUACCAAAAUGUUACUUAUUGUUACCGUCAAAAUACCAAAACUUUUACCGUUUACAGAUUUUCAGACCCUCCCUCCCCCCAUCUAGAGCCUCUUGUGCUGGUCAACAUUUUUCUAAGGGGUCCCCAAUAUUUUGCUAGCGGAGGGCCGGGGCAACAGGUCCCCCUCCGACUACGUCACUGGCACGCACGUAUGGUAUGCUUAACUGGUAAACAGC